GAGGCGGGCUCCAGCUCCUCCGCGCUCCCCGCCGCCCUGUGGCCUGUGCUGGGCUGGGGAACGGAGGCUGAGCCUAGGCGGUAGGACCCUGAGGGCAGCUAACUCCCCAUGGCUGACAGUGGAUCUGGGACGGGUGCAGACUGAUCAUGGGUGAGGCCAUGGGAUCCCUGUAGAAUAAUAGAAUCAAAAUGUUUUCAGUUGGGAAAGACCUUUCAGAUCACCGAGGCAAACCGUUAACUGACUCUGCCAAGCCUGGCGCUGAACCGCAUCCCUCAGCACCACAUCGCUGUGUUUUUUAAACACCUCUAAGGAUGGGGAUUUAGCCACCUCCCUGAGGAGCCCGUUCCAGUGUUUGAGAAUCCUUUUGAUGGAGAAGGUUCUUCUAAUACCCAUCUUAAGUCUCUGGUGCAAUUUGAGGCUACCUGUUACAAGAGAGAAGAGACCAACCCCACAACCGUACUCAAACCUCCUUACGGGGAGUAGCAGGGAGCAAGAAUCUCUGCCUCGGUCUGCUUUUCUGCAGGCCGAACAACCCCAGGUCCCUCAGCCACUCCUCGGAAGAUCUGCUCUUCAGACCCUUCACCAGCUUUGCUGCCCUUCUCUGGACCGGCUCCUGUCACAGGCACACACCAGGACAGCUGUGGCCCAGUCUGCAGGCAGCUCCACCACCCUUCAGAGCAGCACGCUGACACUGAGACCUCCAGAUGCAUUUCUCAACAUCUCAACAUCAAGAUGAUAACAUCAGCAGGAUCACCUCUACAGCAGGCUUGACCCAAGACAGAAGAUGUGACCCAGGUAAGGAGGAGAAACAAGAGCCCCAGUUUACCACAGGAAAACUCCCACUGUGACCACCACCCAUCUGUGUGCCACAACCAAUCACCAUCCCCACACCCAUGGAGUAGAAACCAAG
Long non-coding RNA from Pogoniulus pusillus (Red-fronted tinkerbird), 910 nucleotides. RefSeq lists it as uncharacterized. NCBI's taxonomy places the organism in Eukaryota, Metazoa, Chordata, Aves, Piciformes, Lybiidae. The record is from RefSeq and is a predicted model, not a curated record. The transcript has 3 exons.